This 561-nucleotide ribosomal RNA is filed under the name uncultured bacterium. RNAcentral describes it as "bacterial SSU rRNA". It matches the Rfam family "Bacterial small subunit ribosomal RNA", at positions 355 to 916 of the family's 1533-position model. The record is from RNAcentral.
UAGGGAAUAUUGGUCAAUGGACGAAAGUCUGAACCAGCCAUGCCGCGUGAAGGAUGAAGGCCCUCUGGGUCGUAAACUUCUUUUAUUAGGGAAGAAACCUCAGGAUGCGUCCUGAGCUGACGGUACUUAAUGAAUAAGGAUCGGCUAACUUCGUGCCAGCAGCCGCGGUAAGACGAAGGAUCCAAGCGUUGUCCGGAUUUACUGGGUUUAAAGGGUGCGUAGGCGGAAAAUUAAGUCAGUGGUGAAAGCCCGCAGCUCAACUGUGGAACUGCCAUUGAAACUGGUUUUCUUGAAUAUAGCUGAGGCAGAUGGAAUAUAACAUGUAGCGGUGAAAUGCUUAGAUAUGUUAUAGAACACCGAUUGCGAAGGCAGUCUGCUAAACUAUUAUUGACGCUGAGGCACGAAAGCGUGGGGAGCGAACAGGAUUAGAUACCCUAGUAGUCCACGCCCUAAACGUUGAUUACUCGCUGUUGGCGAUAUACUGUCAGUGGCUAAGCGAAAGCAUUAAGUAAUCCACCUGGGAAGUACGACCGCAAGGUUGAAACUCAAAGGAAUUGACGG